UCUGUCUGUCUCAAAAGGUUUAUUUUUCAGUGCAACAUUAAUAUAAUGAUCGGUACAGAAAUGAUCCACAGACUCAGAAUGAGGUUAGAACAGUAUAAAACAUUACAACAUUACAAAUACAUUCAAAUGUCAGUGCAAAUUAAAGUGCAGACUAAGAUACCAGAACCCUAUAGAACAUUAGUGUCCAGGAACACAGAACAGAACAGUGGUGUCCAGGAACACAGAACAGUGGUGUCCAGCAACACAGAACAGUGGUGUCCAGCAACACAGAACAGUGGUGUCCAGCAACACAGAACAGUGGUGUCCAGCAACACAGAACAGUGGUGUCCAGGAACACAGAACAGUGGUGUCCAGCAACACAGAACAGUGGUGUCCAGGAACACAGAACAGUGGUGUCCAGGAACACAGAACAGUGGUGUCCAGGAACACAGAACAGUGGUGUCCAGGAACACAGAACAGAGGUGUCCAGGAACACAGAACAGACGUUUCCAGGAACACAGAACAGUGGUGUCCAGGAACACAGAACAGUGGUGUCCAGGAACACAGAACAGUGGUGUCCAGGAACACAGAACAGUGGUGUCCAGGAACACAGAACAGAGGUGUCCAGGAACACAGAACAGUGGUGUCCAGGAACACAGAACAGAACAGUGGUGUCCAGGAACACAGAACAGAGGUGUCCAGGAACACAGAACAGAGGUGUCCAGGAACACAGAACAGAGGUGUCCAGGAACACAGAACAGAACAGCAUAGAAUUAGAAUACUAGAAUGGCCAUGAACCUUCUUAUGAUGGGAUUAAGGUCAGCCAUUUUGGUCAGAGAGUUGGUCACCCAUGGAGUUACCAGUGCUGUGAUAAGAUAUUAUGUAAAAUAACCAAUGUGAAGAAUGUAUCUGCGCUCUAUGUGUGUUAGCUAGCUAGCCAGACGGUUUUAGAGGAAUGGUUUCAUUAAUUUAGUCAAAUUAAUUGCCAAUAUGUCAACAAUGUAGUCAUUCCCUCAGCCACAUCCUGUCUGAUAUCAGUUGAUGAUGGGACUUAGACAAGUUGUGAAGGCAACAAUUACUGACGUUGUAUCAUAUAAUAGCACUCGCAGCUUUAACAGGAAAACUAAAAUGUUGACAUUUAUGGUCUGUUUACAUACAUUUUAGAAGUUAUUUAUACAGAAAAUGUGUAUAAACCCUGUAUAAACUGUAUUUAUAAUUAUAUGAUGUUAUUUUAGGUUGACUAUAAUUCUAUUACAAAAUGUCUGAAAUCACAUGACAUUUUCCUGCAUGGUAAAAUCAGGACGAUGCCUCUACUGUCAUUCAUUCCAAUUAGACUGUUUUUUUGGAUUUUCUCCCUGACCAAGAUGGCUGCCAUUUUCACCUCAUUCUAGAAACUUGAGGGUUUAUGACAUAGCGCCCCUUCUAGUCAUUUAAUAGGAUCUCUAUGCAGAACAGUACAUAUAACCAUUAGUAACCCUGAGAACAGCUUCAAGGGACAGGUUUUAUAUGGCUUCACUCCAGUCCUGCAUGGUUGAACCUCACGGACCAUGAUCUAGGAGUGGGUCUGUUCUGCCGAUCCUUGCUGGUAGACAGUUCUAGAGCAGUUGUAUAUCAGAAUCCUGUUAGAAUAAUGUUCUAGGCGUGACUGUAUCCUCUGGGGUUCUGUUAGAGCAAUGUUCUAGGCGUGACUGUAUCCUCUGGGGUUCUGUUAGAAAAAUGUUCUAGGUGUGACUGUAUCCUCUGGGGUUCUGUUAGAGCAAUUUUCUAGAGCAGCUGUAUCCGUGGGUCCUGUUGUUGCAGUCUCUCUAACACACCAUAGGGAAUACACACAUUCCACAUCCUGGAGAAGGAGAGAGGAGAGAGGAGAGAGAGAGAGAGAGAGAGAGAGAGAGAGAGAGAGAGAGAGAGAGAGAGGAGAGAGAGAGAGAGAGAGAGAGAGGAGAGAGGAGAGAGGAGACAGAGAGAGAAAGAGAGAGAGAGAGAGAGAGAGACAGAGAGAGAUAAAGACAGACAGGGAGAAAGAGAGACAGAGAGAGAGAGAGAGAGAGAGAGAGACAGAGACAGGGAGGGAGACAGAGAGACAGAGAGAGAGACAGAGAGAGCGAGACAGAGAGAGAGAGAGAGGGAGAGAGAAGGGGAGGAGAAAGUGAAAGUAUUAGCACAGAGCAGAUCAGUUUCAAGGUUAAUAUUAUGCUUCCUUAGAAAACCAACUUCUU
This 2195-nucleotide long non-coding RNA is filed under the name Salmo trutta (river trout). Its description in RNAcentral is "lncRNA (ENSSTUG00000044994.1)". Lineage: Eukaryota; Metazoa; Chordata; Actinopteri; Salmoniformes; Salmonidae. The record is from RNAcentral.